AUGCCUCGUCUACGCCAACAUGAGCGUGAUAGAGCUGUGGGAAUGGUACAAGCAGGUAUGCGUCAUAUUGACGUCGCAAACAACUUUGGUGUUUCUAAAUUGACAAUAACAAGAUUAAUGAGUCGUCUAAGACAGACUGGGUCCUCAAAUGACAGACGACGUAGUGGACGUCCAAGAGAAACAACUUUACGCCAAGACCGUCGAAUACGAUUUACACAUCUCAGGGAUCGGUUUUUACCAGCUACAAUUACCGCUAGACAAACACCUGGAAGGCAUAAUCCAAGGAUAUCCGCUCAAACUGUACGUAAUAGGCUAAGAGAGGCUGGUUUGCGUUCACGACAUCCAGUAGUAGGAGCCAUUCUAAAACAGCGUCAUCGAACUGCACACAAACGUUGGGCAAAUGCACGUUUGUAUUGGAACCGUGUUAGGUGGCAAAACGUCAUUUUUAGUGAUGAGUCAAGAUUUUGCUUACGUAAAAGUGAUGGCAGAAUGAGAGUGUACCGACGUCAAAAUGAACGUUAUGCAGACGCGUGUGUGCAUGAAUGUGAUCGCUUUGGUGGUGGUGGUGUGAUGGUUUGGGCAGGAAUCACGCAUUGUGGACGCACUGACUUGACGUUCAUUAACGGAAGCCUUACUGGAGUUCGUUAUCGUGAUGAAAUUCUCUCUCCGAUUGUACAACCAUUCAUUGCAAGGCAUGGAAAUCGGCAUACUUUCCAACAGGACAAUGCUAGGUGCCACGUGGCACGUGUAUGCACACAAUAUCUUGGACAAAAUAACAUUGACAUUCUUCCAUGGCCAGCUUUAUCGCCAGAUCUAUCACCCAUUGAACAUUUAUGGGAUGAACUUGACAAACGUGUUCGCAGACGUCAUCAACCACCAGAGUCGGUCAACCAGCUACGAGCCGCCUUAGUGGAAGAGUGGAAUAACAUUCCACAAGCAUUUAUUCAGCGAUUAAUUGGAUCAAUGCGUCGGCGAUUGACUGCUGUUAUUAACGCAAGAGGUGGCCAUACGCGAUAUUAA
Molecule: small RNA, 1020 nt
Filed under: Mytilus galloprovincialis (Mediterranean mussel)
Lineage: Eukaryota; Metazoa; Mollusca; Bivalvia; Mytilida; Mytilidae
Source: RNAcentral